GAGCCUUCAACUAGAAUUCAAAUUAAUUACAUUGUUCACUUCCUUAACCAUUGAAAAUUCGCGUUCAAUAAUCCUAAUCCAGACAAAUGGCACUAGAAACCUUUAAUUAAAAUUCCUUCUUGUCCAUAACCUUAGCCCUAAAAAGUGGUGGAGUAAGGUUUCUCGCCGGAUGGACAAGUGGAGGAGUGAGGUUUGACAAUGAUAGAGGGAGGUAGAAGUGUUGGGUGGAAGAGGAGAGCCAACUGGUGGUUUCAAAUCCAGAUCUGGUAGAGGGUGGAUGUAGCUGGCAAUGGCAUCGGCGACAUCGUGAGGACCGUCGACGGUGGUGACUGUAUCUCCAACAAUGGUAUGUGAUAGAGAGAAGGAGAU
Molecule: long non-coding RNA, 369 nt
Filed under: Olea europaea (common olive)
Lineage: Eukaryota; Viridiplantae; Streptophyta; Magnoliopsida; Lamiales; Oleaceae
Description: long non-coding RNA (OEUR_LNC011764)
Source: RNAcentral